Oncorhynchus masou masou (cherry salmon) is the source of this 1073-nucleotide long non-coding RNA. RefSeq lists it as uncharacterized. The record is from RefSeq and is a predicted model, not a curated record. Lineage: Eukaryota; Metazoa; Chordata; Actinopteri; Salmoniformes; Salmonidae. The transcript is spliced from 2 exons.
UUAAGGAUACUGGGAGAGUGAUACCAGGAAAAUAACCUCUCACUCAACAUCAACAAAACAAAGGAGCGGAUUGUGGUUUUCAGGAAACAGCACACCCAUAUCCACAUCGACAGGACAGCAGUGGAGAAGGUGGAAAGCUUCAAGUUCCUCUGCGUACACAUCACUGACGAUCUGAAAUGGUCCACCCACACAGACAGUGUGGUGAAGGCGGUGCAACAGCGCCUCUUCAACCUCAGGAGGCAGAAGAAAUUUGGCUUGGCCCCGAAAACCCUCAGACUUUUACAGAUGCACACUUAAGAGCAUCCUAUCGGGCUGUAUCACCGCCUGGUACGGCAACUCCUCCGCCCGCAAUCGUAGGGUUCUCCAGGGGGUGGUGCGUUCUGCCCAACGCAUCACUGGGGGCAAACUACCUGCCCUCCAGGACAGCUACAGCACCCGAUGUCACAAGAAGGCCAAAAAGAUCAAGGACAUCAACCACCCGAGCCACUGCCUGUUCACCCCUCCAUCAUCCAGAAGGCGAGGACCAUACCUCAGGACUACCUGGCCUUAUGACUCCAUCUGUCCCCAGUCCACCUGGCCGUGCUGCUGCUCCAGUUUCAACUGUUCUGCAUGCGGCUAUGGAACCCUGACCUGUUCACCGGACGUGCUACCUGUCCCAGACGUGUUUUCAACUCUCUAGAGACAGCAGGAGCGGUAGAGAUACUCUGAAUGAUCGACUAUGAAAAGCCAACUGACAUUUACUCCUGAGGUGCUGACCUUUUGCAUCCUCGACAACCACUGUGAUUAUUAUUAGCAUUAUUAUUAUUAUUAGACCCUGCUGGUCAUCUAUGAACAUUUAAACAUCUUGGCCAUGUUCUGUUAUAAUUUCCACCCGGCACAGCCAGAAGAGGAAUGGCCACCCCUCAUAGCCUGGUUCCUCUCUAUGUUUCUUCCUUGGGAGAUUUUCCUAGCCACCGUGCUUCUAUACCUGCAUUGCUUGCUGUUUGGUAUUUUAUGCUGGGUUUCUGUACAGUACUUUGAGAUAUCAGCUGAUGUAAGGGCGGCUUUAUAAAUAAAUUUGAUUUUGUCAAGGA